UACGUAGGGGGCAAGCGUUGUCCGGAUUUAUUGGGCGUAAAGAGCGUGUAGGCGGCCUGAAAGGUCAGCUGUGAAAACUCGAGGCUCAACCUCGAGACGUCGGUUGAAACCAUCUGGCUAGAGUCCGGAAGAGGAGUGUGGAAUUCCCGGUGUAGCGGUGAAAUGCGCAGAUAUCGGGAGGAACACCUGUGGCGAAAGCGGCGCACUGGACCAUAACUGACGCUGAUGCGCGAAAGCUAGGGGAGCAAACAGG
This 253-nucleotide ribosomal RNA is filed under the name uncultured bacterium. Its description in RNAcentral is "partial 16S ribosomal RNA". It matches the Rfam family "Bacterial small subunit ribosomal RNA", at positions 524 to 776 of the family's 1533-position model. The record is from RNAcentral.